Molecule: ribosomal RNA, 253 nt
Filed under: uncultured bacterium
Lineage: Bacteria
Description: partial 16S ribosomal RNA
Rfam family: Bacterial small subunit ribosomal RNA
Source: RNAcentral
UACGGAGGGGGCAAGCGUUGCUCGGAAUCACUGGGCGUAAAGGGCGCGUAGGCGGGGAGGUAAGUCGGGUGUGAAAUCCCUUGGCCCAACCGAGGAACUGCGCCCGAGACUGCUUCUCUUGAGUCCCGGAGAGGAAGGUGGAAUUCCCGGUGUAGCGGUGAAAUGUGUAGAGAUCGGGAGGAACACCGGUGGCGAAGGCGGCCUUCUGGACGGUGACUGACGCUGAGGCGCGAAAGCGUGGGGAGCAAACGGG